RNAcentral lists this ribosomal RNA (254 nucleotides) under uncultured bacterium. Its description in RNAcentral is "partial 16S ribosomal RNA". It matches the Rfam family "Bacterial small subunit ribosomal RNA", at positions 524 to 776 of the family's 1533-position model. The record is from RNAcentral.
UACGGGGGGAGCAAGCGUUGUUCGGAUUUACUGGGCGUAAAGGGCGCGUAGGCGGCCACCGCAAGUCGACUGUGAAAUCUCCGGGCUCAACUGGGCGGGGUCAGCGGAUACGGUGUGGCUCGAGCAAGCUAGGGGGCAAUGGAAUUCCCGGUGUAGUGGUGGAAUGCGUAGAUAUCGGGAGGAACACCAGUGGCGAAGGCGGUUGCCUGGAGCUUUGCUGACGCUGAGGCGCGAAAGCGUGGGGAGCAAACAGG